This 426-nucleotide ribosomal RNA is filed under the name uncultured bacterium. RNAcentral describes it as "bacterial SSU rRNA". It matches the Rfam family "Bacterial small subunit ribosomal RNA", at positions 354 to 796 of the family's 1533-position model. The record is from RNAcentral.
GUGGGGAAUCUUGCGCAAUGGGCGAAAGCCUGACGCAGCAACGCCGCGUGGGGGAUGAAGGCUCUCGGGUUGUAAACCCCUUUCAGCAGGGACGAAUCAAGACGGUACCUGCAGAAGAAGCCCCGGCUAACUACGUGCCAGCAGCCGCGGUAACACGUAGGGGGCAAGCGUUGUCCGGAUGUAUUGGGCGUAAAGAGCUCGUAGGUGGCGGAGUAAGUCGGAUGUCAAAUCCCCAGGCUCAAUCUGGGAUCCCAUCCGAGACUGCUCUGGCUAGAGUCCGGUAGGGGAGCGUGGAAUUCCUGGUGUAGCGGUGAAAUGCACGGAUAUCAGGAGGAACACCAGCGGCGAAGGCGGCGCUCUGGGCCGGUACUGACACUGAGGAGCGAAAGCGUGGGUAGCAAACAGGAUUAGAAACCCUUGUAGUCC